GACGAACGCUGGCGGCGUGCUUAACACAUGCAAGUCGAACGGUGAAGGGAUCAGCUUGCUGGUUCUGGCUGAGUGGCGAACGGGUGAGUAACACGUGAGUAACCUGCCCCCUUCUUCUGGAUAACCGCAUGAAAGUGUGGCUAAUACGGGAUAUUCUGCGCCUGCUGCAUGGUGGGUGUGGGAAAGAUAUUGUUUCGGUGGGGGAUGGGCUCGCGGCCUAUCAGCUUGUUGGUGGGGUGAUGGCCUACCAAGGCGGUGACGGGUAGACGGCCUGAGAGGGUGGAAGGUCACAAGGGGACUGGGACACGGCCCAGGAUACUACGGGAGGGAGCAGUGGGGAAUAGUGGGCAACGGGGGGGAGCCUUAUGCAGCGAAGCCGGGUGAGGGAUGGAGGCCUUCGGGUUGUGAACCUCUUUCGCCAGUGAAGCAGGCCUGUCCCUUGUGGGGGGGUUGACGGUAGCUGGAGAAGAAGCGCCGGCUAACUACGUG
RNAcentral lists this ribosomal RNA (489 nucleotides) under uncultured bacterium. Its description in RNAcentral is "partial 16S ribosomal RNA". It matches the Rfam family "Bacterial small subunit ribosomal RNA", at positions 28 to 507 of the family's 1533-position model. The record is from RNAcentral.